This is a long non-coding RNA of Humulus lupulus (European hop), 373 nucleotides long. RefSeq lists it as uncharacterized. The record is from RefSeq and is a predicted model, not a curated record. Lineage: Eukaryota; Viridiplantae; Streptophyta; Magnoliopsida; Rosales; Cannabaceae. The transcript is spliced from 2 exons.
AUUCAUAUUUUAUUGUAUUAUUUCAAUAUUAAUUUUUUUUAUUUUCUUUACAGAAGCGAUUCCACUAGUCACCAUGAAUGAUGAAGAUAAUGAUGUAGAUCCAACUAUGGAGCCAUACAUAGUUGAUCUUGAUGAUUAAGGUAGCAGGUCAAUAAAGAAGAAGAAAGUCAUUUGAUUCUUUUGACGCAUCAAAAGUGGAGUGCUAUGUUGCAUAUGAUAGUUUUAUUUUACUUUGUUCUCUUGAGAAACUCUCAAAAGUGGAGUGCUAUGUUGCAUAUGAUAGUUUUAUUUUACUUUGUUCUCUUGAGAAACCCUUAUUAUACUUGGCGAAUUCUUGAUUUAAAUGAUGAUAUAAUGAUAUGAUUUAAUACAA